Molecule: ribosomal RNA, 253 nt
Filed under: uncultured microorganism
Description: partial 16S ribosomal RNA
Rfam family: Bacterial small subunit ribosomal RNA
Source: RNAcentral
UACGGAGGGUGCAAGCGUUAAUCGGAAUUACUGGGCGUAAAGCGUACGUAGGCGGCUUGUUAAGCAAGAUGUGAAAUCCCCGGGCUCAACCUGGGAAUGGCAUUUUGAACUGGCAGGCUCGAGUUCUGAAGAGGGUGGUAGAAUUUCCAGUGUAGCGGUGAAAUGCGUAGAUAUUGGAAGGAAUACCGGUGGCGAAGGCGGCCACCUGGACAGGUAUCGACGCUGAGGCGCGAAAGUGUGGGGAGCAAACAGG